Molecule: ribosomal RNA, 677 nt
Filed under: uncultured crenarchaeote
Lineage: Archaea; Thermoproteati; Thermoproteota
Description: bacterial SSU rRNA
Rfam family: Archaeal small subunit ribosomal RNA
Source: RNAcentral
CCCUAUGGGGUGCAGCAGUCGCGAAAACUCCGCAAUGCGCGAAAGCGUGACGGGGCUACCCCGAGUGCCGUCCGCUGAGGAUGGCUUUUCCCCGGUGUAAUGAGCCGGGAGAAUAAGGAGAGGGCAAGACUGGUGUCAGCCGCCGCGGUAAUACCAGCUCUCCGAGUGGUAGGGACGAUUAUUGGGCUUAAAGCGUCCGUAGCCGGCUUAGCAAGUCUCCUGUUAAAUUCAGCGACUCAAUCGUUGAGCCGCGGGAGAUACUACUAGGCUAGGAGGCGGGAGAGGUCGACGGUAUUCCCGGGGGAGGGGUGAAAUCCUAUAAUCCCGGGAGGACCACCAGUGGCGAAGGCUGUCGGCUAGAACGCGCUCGACGGUGAGGGACGAAAGCUGGGGGAGCGAACCGGAUUAGAUACCCGGGUAGUCCCAGCUGUAAACGAUGCGGGCUAGGUGUUGAGGUGGCUACGAGCCACUUCAGUGCCGCAGGGAAGCCAUUAAGCCCGCCGCCUGGGGAGUACGGCCGCAAGGCUGAAACUUAAAGGAAUUGGCGGGGGGGCACCACAAGGCGUGAAGCUUGCGGUUCAAUUGGAGUCAACGCCGGGAACCUUACCGGGGGCGACAGCAGGAUGAAGGCCAGAUUGAAGGUCUUGCUGGACAAGCUGAGAAGUGGUGCAUGGGCC